UCUCAACCUUUAGAUGGCAAGUGGACUAAAAGAUUCUUGCAAAAAUACCAAAGAUAAAAAUAUAUUAAUAACAAUGAUGUAAGCAACAAGCAAGCUUCAGAAACAAUAAACAGGCAGAGCCGACAUUUUUACCACUCCCUACAAUAUGAGUUCAUAGUUAUCUCAGAAGUAAAAGCAAUGACAAUCUAGUUAUCUAAUUCUUGGACAUAAAGCUUGAAAAUUAUCAAGAAGACCUUCUGACAUGUGAAUUUAUACCUACAACAAAAUUAUUAGCUACUGAUAGUAUGGAGAUUUGUGAUUUGCAGAAUGUUUAUAAGUAGUUUCAUUUUACUUUGCUAUAGUUUGCUCUGUUUCAGUCCUCCAAAUCUCAUAUUGAAAUUAGAUCCCCAGUGUUGUAGGUGGGGCCUAAUGUGAUGUGUUUGGGUCAAAAGGGUGGAUCCUUCACUAAUGGCUUAGUGCUGUCCUUGAGGUUGAUGAGUAAGUGCUUGCUCUAUUAAUUCCCCAGAGAGCUGGUUGUUAAAAAGAGCCCCACACCUCCCCCUUAUCUUGCUUCCUCUUUCUUGCUGCGUGAUCUCUGCACAGGCCUGCUCCUGUUUGCUUUCUGUCAUGAAGGGAAGCAGCCUGAAACCCUCAUGAGAAGCAGAUGCAGGUGCCAUGCUUCUUGUAUCGCCUGCAGAAUGGAAAAAGGAUAUUCAAGUGGCAUAUGAAAGCAGAACACCUGCCCUACCUCCAGAUCCGGCAUUACAAGCACCUUGUAAGAUACCACAGCCACCACUUUCAGACUGCUGGGUAAAAGCAAGUGGUUUCCUGAGAGUCUGUCCAUUUACAGCAAGAAGUAAAAAAAGGUUCUGAGAAGAAGUGAGGAGAAGCUAACAGCUGAGCAUGACUUCCAGAAGACAGUGUGGACAGGUUUCAGGUGAGUGGAUGGGAAAAGGGAUACCGUAGAGAUGACUGAGAAUAAGAAUCCAGGAAGAUCAGCACUGAUUGGGAGCUCCAGGCUCCUUGUGAGGUUUGAUGCACAUGAGAGAAUGGCAAAAGCAGAUUUGCCUUGAAGUUCUCAAUGCAAGCAAUGAGGAGAAGGCUGGGAGUGUUGCAGGGCGCUGAGCGUGGAGUCUUGCUGGGAGUGUUCUGAGGCUUCCUCUUUAUUCCUGACAGUGGUGAAGUGGGGCCAUAGAUGGCAUAGUCUUUAUCCUGACUACUUGGAAAUCUGGGAGAGGUGUAGAGACCAGGCGAGGUUCGUCUUUUUCAGCUGAUGUGUGGGUGGCUCUUCAGAGCAGAUUUGAAAGUGUGCAAUGGAAAAUGGUGUUGGAAACGAGUUGAGUAGAUGAGUCAAUGCAACUCUAAUUUUAAUGCCCCAAACCAUGCCCAGCUCAAAAGUCACAGGGUGGUCAUAACAGUUCCACUUUUCUACUCCUGUCAUCAUUAAGCCUCAAAUAAAUAAAAGAAGGGGCCUGUCUCAACAUAUCAAAAGCUGCUGAAUUGUGUCCAUUUAUCCUUUCACUGUUGUGAGA
Molecule: long non-coding RNA, 1511 nt
Filed under: Callithrix jacchus (white-tufted-ear marmoset)
Lineage: Eukaryota; Metazoa; Chordata; Mammalia; Primates; Cebidae
Description: lncRNA (ENSCJAG00000083678.1)
Source: RNAcentral